RNAcentral lists this non-coding RNA (28 nucleotides) under Bombyx mori (domestic silkworm). Lineage: Eukaryota; Metazoa; Arthropoda; Insecta; Lepidoptera; Bombycidae. The record is from RNAcentral.
UGCAAUGUUGUCGGCGGGUCAGGAGAGU